CCUACGGGGGGCUGCAGUGGGGAAUAUUGGACAAUGGGGGGAACCCUGAUCCAGCCAUGCCGCGUGUGUGAAGAAGGCCCUCGGGUUGUAAAGCACUUUCAGUGAGGAAGAACGCCUGGUGGUUAAUACCCAUCAGGAAAGACAUCACUCACAGAAGAAGCACCGGCUAACUCCGUGCCAGCAGCCGCGGUAAUACGGAGGGUGCGAGCGUUAAUCGGAAUUACUGGGCGUAAAGCGCGCGUAGGUGGCUUGAUAAGCCGGUUGUGAAAGCCCCGGGCUCAACCUGGGAACGGCAUCCGGAACUGUCAAGCUAGAGCGCAGGAGAGGAAGGUAGAAUUCCCGGUGUAGCGGUGAAAUGCGUAGAGAUCGGGAGGAAUACCAGUGGCGAAGGCGGCCUUCUGGACUGACACUGACACUGAGGUGCGAAAGCGUGGGUAGCAAACAGGAUUAGAUACCCGUGUAGUC
This 465-nucleotide ribosomal RNA is filed under the name Vreelandella stevensii. Its description in RNAcentral is "partial 16S ribosomal RNA". It matches the Rfam family "Bacterial small subunit ribosomal RNA", at positions 338 to 795 of the family's 1533-position model. Lineage: Bacteria; Pseudomonadati; Pseudomonadota; Gammaproteobacteria; Oceanospirillales; Halomonadaceae. The record is from RNAcentral.